GACGAACGCUGGCGGCGUGCUUAACACAUGCAAGUCGAACGGAAAGGCCCUGCUUUUGUGGGGUGCUCGAGUGGCGAACGGGUGAGUAACACGUGAGUAACCUGCCCUUGACUUUCGGAUAACUUUAGGAAACUGGGGCUAAUACCGGAUAGGAGCUCCUGCUGCAUGGUGUGGGUUGGAAAGUUUCGGCGGUUGGGGCUGGACUCGCGGCUUAUCCGCUUGUUGGUGGGGUAGGGGCUUACCAAGGCUUUGACGGGUAGCCGGCCUGGGAGGGUGGCCGGCCACAUGGGGACUGAGAUACGGCCCAGACUCCUACGGGAGGCAGCAGUGGGGAAUAUUGCACAAUGGGCGGAAGCCUGAUGCAGCAACGCCGCGUGCGGGAUGACGGCCUUCGGGUUGUAAACCGCUUUCGACUGUGACGAAGCGUGAGUGACGGUAAUGGGUAAAGAAGCACCGGCUAACUACGUG
RNAcentral lists this ribosomal RNA (468 nucleotides) under uncultured bacterium. RNAcentral describes it as "partial 16S ribosomal RNA". It matches the Rfam family "Bacterial small subunit ribosomal RNA", at positions 28 to 507 of the family's 1533-position model. The record is from RNAcentral.